RNAcentral lists this long non-coding RNA (333 nucleotides) under Dromaius novaehollandiae (emu). Its description in RNAcentral is "lncRNA (ENSDNVG00000002203.1)". Lineage: Eukaryota; Metazoa; Chordata; Aves; Casuariiformes; Dromaiidae. The record is from RNAcentral.
UGUCAAACUGAAAUGUAGCCGGAAAAAUCUGACAUCAAGAAAGAUCUACUGUCAGGUUGUGGUUGCUGAACUUUGUAGUCUGGUGAUGCUUUGAAGUCUUCUACUGAAAUGUGCUCUUCCCUGUGAAAGAAAACAUUACUAAACUGAAGGCUGCUUUGAAUUGGGAUGAAGGCUGACAGAAGCACGUCAGAUGACCUAAGAAGGACAUGUGGAUCUCCGAGAAGUUGCUCUCAGUCUCAAAGUUUUGUAAGCUCUUCUGACCUCUGGAAUUUUAAGCGCAUCACUUCUCUACAGCAGCAGCAAGAGGGAGAGCUGGGAUUUGCAGGCGGAUGA